CCGAGCGAGGGCCCCCGGGCCCGACCUCCAACCCCAUGUCACCCGACCCUGUUGCCUCGGGGGCGACCUGCGCCGGCCGCUCGCGGCCGCCCGGGGCCCCCGGCGGACCCCCCAACGCUGCAUCUUUGCGUCCGAGUCUGAUUUGAAUCAAUCA
RNAcentral lists this unclassified non-coding RNA (154 nucleotides) under uncultured fungus. Its description in RNAcentral is "sequence contains ITS1, 5.8S rRNA gene". Lineage: Eukaryota; Fungi. The record is from RNAcentral.